GGCUUUGUGGAAUGGCAGUAUCAUAGCCAAUGAGAUUUAUCUGAGGCACGAUUAUUGCUAAUUGAACAAAAAGGGGGGCGGUUCUUACUUUGAUAUCAGUAGUUCCCCGUUUCUACCAGACUAGAGUUUUUCAUGUCUGUAUG
This 143-nucleotide small nuclear RNA is filed under the name Dasypus novemcinctus (nine-banded armadillo). RNAcentral's name for it is "U4 spliceosomal RNA (ENSDNOG00000029778.1)". The stretch from base 1 to 72 matches the Rfam family "U4 spliceosomal RNA". Rfam says of the family: U4 small nuclear RNA (U4 snRNA) is a component of the major U2-dependent spliceosome. The structure of U4 snRNA from yeast and human has been reported. The record is from RNAcentral. Lineage: Eukaryota; Metazoa; Chordata; Mammalia; Cingulata; Dasypodidae.